This 254-nucleotide ribosomal RNA is filed under the name uncultured bacterium. Its description in RNAcentral is "partial 16S ribosomal RNA". It matches the Rfam family "Bacterial small subunit ribosomal RNA", at positions 524 to 776 of the family's 1533-position model. The record is from RNAcentral.
GACGAACCGUGCGAACGUUAUUCGGAAUCACUGGGCUUAAAGCGCGUGUAGGCGGGAGGGCACGUCCGUCGCUGAAAUCCCCCGGCUCAACCGGGGAACGGGCGCGGAUACGACCUUCCUUGAGGGGCGUAGGGGGACCUGGAACUUCCGGUGGAGCGGUGAAAUGCGUUGAGAUCGGAAGGAACGCCCGUGGCGAAAGCGAGGUCCUGGACGCCUACUGACGCUGAGACGCGAAAGCGUGGGGAGCGAACAGG